Molecule: long non-coding RNA, 1364 nt
Filed under: Mytilus galloprovincialis (Mediterranean mussel)
Lineage: Eukaryota; Metazoa; Mollusca; Bivalvia; Mytilida; Mytilidae
Source: RNAcentral
UAGAACAUGAAACGACUUAACUGAAUAGUAAAGUUUGAAAUUCGUAAGUUUUUCUAUCAUAUGCGUGUUUACACAAUAGCCACCCCUUAAACUGAAUAACUACUUAGAAAGUAAUUUCGUCUUGAACAUAAAUGCAUGCCUUUUAUAGAUAAGGUACAUUCACAGACACUACUAUAACCAAAAAAAAAAAAAAACGGAAUGAAAAAAAAGGUUACAAAAAAAGUGAAAUUAAAGAUUGUACAUUUUCCAACCUUUAAACUUGGCUCAAUUUGAGUUGAACACAGUUUUUAAACAAAAAAAAACCAAGACUAGAUCAUGUGGAAUCAAAGAACCUUAUGUGACUUGGUGUAAUUGUUUGUCUGCUUUACUAAACGUUUGAUGUUUGUCUGUUUUGAUUUCAGACAGUAAUAUUGUUGUACACUAAACUAUAUGAAGUAACUAUGAUCUUGACCUUAUCUUCUCUUUGAAUGUGAUCGUGUAUCAAGUAAUAUUUCAAUCUAAUGUAUAGUAUUUUAUUCAGCAGCCGGUAACCACUUGUCUGCAUACAUAAUCUAUUUUACGACCUUCACAUUAUGUUUUAGAUAUUUACGUCAAACUCAAUCAGGAUCUUCCUCUCAUUUUGUGUGAGAAAUCCAAUAACGGUAGUGGUGUAUAUAAAUAACGUUAUUUAAACCCCUUUUCUGUUUAAAUUUUUCAAGUAAUGGUGUCAAAUGUAUCGACAUGUUAAUACUAUUCAAUGAAUAUUAUGAUACCGUCAAACACUAUUGUAAUGCUAACACGUAUCAUGUUAAAGGUAGUGACUAUGUUUGCUCAAAUUUGAUUUAAUUUAGAACAUGGCUGCAUACAUCUGUAUCUAAACGAAACGACGAAUGAAUCAAAACAGACCUAACGGUAACUAUAUAGCAAGUCAAUGUUCGGAAAGCUCUGAAAUUAAAACAAACACUAGCCUGAACGACCUUAGAGACUGAAAUUUCUUUUUGACACAAUCAAAUAUGAAGAUAAAAACUCAGACGCAUACAAAACGAGACAAAAAAUUAAAUUAAAGCAAAAACACAGAACUGAAACACAAUAAUUAACAAAAAACAUGCGAUUUUAACAUGUAGAUCAUACCUAUCAAUUAACAUUUGUAAAACUUUGAUACAUACUUGUGUCUAUUUGCAGUUGGAGUGUAAGAAGAUAAUAUAAUUGGUCACAAAUGUAUAAUGAGGAUAAAAUGAUUGACGAAACGUUAAAGUGUAUUGCACGUUUAUCGAUGCAUUGGUUUUGUUUCCAAAAGAAAAAAACUGACAUUUUAUAACUCAAAAUCUGAAUGGACAAGUUUUAUGAAAGUUAUAUAACAUAACAUAAACAAUGUUAAAAACAAU